RNAcentral lists this ribosomal RNA (492 nucleotides) under uncultured bacterium. RNAcentral describes it as "partial 16S ribosomal RNA". It matches the Rfam family "Bacterial small subunit ribosomal RNA", at positions 29 to 507 of the family's 1533-position model. The record is from RNAcentral.
AGUGAACGCUGGCGGUAGGCCUAACACAUGCAAGUCGAACGGCAGCACAGUAAGAGCUUGCUCUUACGGGUGGCGAGUGGCGGACGGGUGAGGAAUACAUCGGAAUCUACUUUUUCGUGGGGGAUAACGUAGGGAAACUUACGCUAAUACCGCAUACGACCUACGGGUGAAAGCAGGGGAUCUUCGGACCUUGCGCGAUUGAAUGAGCCGAUGUCGGAUUAGCUAGUUGGCGGGGUAAAGGCCCACCAAGGCGACGAUCCGUAGCUGGUCUGAGAGGAUGAUCAGCCACACUGGAACUGAGACACGGUCCAGACUCCUACGGGAGGCAGCAGUGGGGAAUAUUGGACAAUGGGCGCAAGCCUGAUCCAGCCAUACCGCGUGGGUGAAGAAGGCCUUCGGGUUGGAAAGACCUUUUGUUGGGAAAGAAAAGCAGAAGGUUAAUACCCUGCUGUUCUGACGGUACCCAAAGAAUAAGCACCGGCUAACUUCGUG